GAUGAACGCUGGCGGCGUGCCUAACACAUGCAAGUCGAGCGAACCCUUCGGGGUGAGCGGCGGACGGGUGAGUAACGCGUGGGUAACCUGCCCUGUACACACGGAUAACAUACCGAAAGGUAUGCUAAUACGAGAUAACACAUUUUAAUCACAUGGUUAAGAUAUCAAAGCUGCUGCGGUACAGGAUGGAACCACGUCUGAUUAGCUAGUUGGUGCGGUAAUGGCUCACCAAGGCGACGAUCAGUAGCCGACCUGCGAGGGUGAUCGGCCACACUGGAACUGAGACACUGUCCAGACUCCUACGGGAGGCAGCAGUGGGAAUAUUGCACAAUGGGCGAGAGCCUGAUGCAGCAACGCCGCGUGAGCGAUGAAGGCCUUCGGGUCGUAAAGCUCUGUCCUCAAGGAAGAUAAUGACGGUACUUGAGGAGGAAGCCCCGGCUAACUACGUGCCAGCCGCCGCCGUAA
Molecule: ribosomal RNA, 465 nt
Filed under: uncultured bacterium
Lineage: Bacteria
Description: partial 16S ribosomal RNA
Rfam family: Bacterial small subunit ribosomal RNA
Source: RNAcentral